CUGGGGCUGUAGUCGGUCCCAAGGGUUGGGCUGUUCGCCCAUUAAAGCGGUACGCGAGCUGGGUUCAGAACGUCGUGAGACAGUUCGGUCCCUAUCCGUCGUGGGCGCAGGAAAUUUGAGAGGAGCUGUCCUUAGUACGAGAGGACCGGGAUGGACGCACCGCUGGUGUACCAGUUGUUCUGCCAAGAGCAUCGCUGGGUAGCUAUGUGCGGACGGGAUAAGUGCUGAAAGCAUCUAAGCAUGAAGCCCCCCUCAAGAUGAGAUUUCCCAUAGCGUAAGCUAGUAAGAUCCCUGAAAGAUGAUCAGGUUGAUAGGUCAGAGGUGGAAGCGCGGUGACGUGUGGAGCUGACUGAUACUAAUCGAUCGAGGACUUAACCAA
This 379-nucleotide ribosomal RNA is filed under the name Pelosinus baikalensis. RNAcentral's name for it is "partial 23S ribosomal RNA". It matches the Rfam family "Bacterial large subunit ribosomal RNA", at positions 2547 to 2925 of the family's 2925-position model. The record is from RNAcentral. Lineage: Bacteria; Bacillati; Bacillota; Negativicutes; Selenomonadales; Sporomusaceae.